GACGUAGGGCGCGAGCGUUGUCCGGAUUUAUUGGGCGUAAAGAGCUCGUAGGCGGCUUGUCGCGUCGACUGUGAAAACCCGUGGCUCAACCAUGUGGUCUGCAGUCGAUACGGGCAGGCUAGGAUUCGGUAGGGGAGACUGGAAUUCCUGGUGUAGCGGUGAAAUGCGCAGAUAUCAGGAGGAACACCGAUGGCGAAGGCAGGUCUCUGGGCAGGAACUGACGCUGAGGAGCGAAAGCAUGGGGAGCGAACAGG
This 254-nucleotide ribosomal RNA is filed under the name uncultured bacterium. Its description in RNAcentral is "partial 16S ribosomal RNA". It matches the Rfam family "Bacterial small subunit ribosomal RNA", at positions 524 to 776 of the family's 1533-position model. The record is from RNAcentral.